CACAGGCGCCGCCUGUUGUACUGUCCGCUUUCUAGCCACAGGUGCUAGCCACAGCAACAAAUGCUUGGUCUUACACAUUGGCAGAACAAAUCAGAACACAAAAUUAAAGCUGGGCGGAUAUGACCUUGUAUACGACCCUCACUCUGUCAAGGAUCUUGGUAGUACAGGGGUUUAAGGCACCCUGUUAUUAAGCUGGUUAUUAAGACCAGCUGCCUGCAAUUACUGCAGGGUUCGAAUCUCGCCAAGGCUCAAGGUUGACUCAGCCUUCCAUCCUUUCUAAGCACUAAAUGUGGCUGCCCUGAAGAUCCAAAGAAAAAGAUGGGCUCCAGGGCUGACAAAAUGAUCUCAGCCAUUGCUGACAACAUGGAGGGCAAAGCGGCCAAGUGGGUGGCACAACUUGUGGCCCAGCAUUCGAAAUUCUGAAGAAACGGUUCACUGAGGAACUGCAGAGUUCCUUCUCAGCUGAGUGGGGGCAGCCUGUCAGCACCUGAAACCAUUUCGGAAAUCUUCAGGACUGCCACAGCAAGGCUGGUUGCUGCUGUGGGAAUGUGAGGGGGAGGUAGAGAUAACUGCGGGAAAUUGUAGCCAUAACAACAUUCUUUUCCAUGGGAACCAAGGACGUCCCCACCAGGUGUUGUGAAGGCGUGGACCAAAGACAGCCAAAGGAGGACUGUGACCUGAUUGGACCAUAUGAUGGAUGUGUGACCUGAGAGCAAGAACUUUGGGUUUUGAUUUGGGUGGGGAAAACCUCGUGUCCUUCAGAAUCUGGUUUUCACCAGCUGUGCCAAUAUGACAUUCCUAAUAAAAAAUUACUUUGAGGA
Molecule: non-coding RNA, 821 nt
Organism: Pantherophis guttatus
Lineage: Eukaryota; Metazoa; Chordata; Lepidosauria; Squamata; Colubridae
Source: RefSeq, a predicted model, not a curated record